UACAAGAAAUCUGUUGUCGCGCUGUGUU
This 28-nucleotide non-coding RNA is filed under the name Bombyx mori (domestic silkworm). Lineage: Eukaryota; Metazoa; Arthropoda; Insecta; Lepidoptera; Bombycidae. The record is from RNAcentral.